Long non-coding RNA from Peromyscus californicus insignis, 3259 nucleotides. RefSeq lists it as uncharacterized. The record is from RefSeq and is a predicted model, not a curated record. Lineage: Eukaryota; Metazoa; Chordata; Mammalia; Rodentia; Cricetidae. The transcript has 2 exons.
UCAGCCCAGCCAAGGCUGGCAGCUGUCACCAGGGCCCAGCGGCGGCUCCUCACAUCGGUAUGUCAGACAGACUAACGAUGUCUUCCUCUCUCCCUCCCCUUCCCUCUUUUCUCUUCAUCUCCAUGCUAUGCCGCGUCACUAACAGGGACACCGCGGACACAGGCCCGCCAGGGAGACUUUGUCUGUGUGGAGUGCGGCAAGAGUUUCCACCAGCCCAGCCAACUCAGGGCCCACCUUCGGGCACACACAGGGGAGAGACCAUACUACCCCAGGGACUGUGCCAGCGGGGCCUCUCCGAAAGGGGACCUAGAGACACGCCUCCAGCGCUCAGCCCGUGAUGGUGUCGACAGUGGCCUCACGGGCGAUUGGAAGGCUCCCAGCGGUGACCAUGGCCACCUUGGGGAAGAAGAGCCAGGGUCUCCUGACCAGAUACCUUAGACCCGGGAGCCGCUGCGCUAGAGCAGACCAAGGGAGAUGCCUCCCUUGGUAACAUUUAGGGACAGCGAAGAUGCUAUGCCUAGAAUCCCGUGUAGCUCUUUCACACACAUGUAUGUGCUCAUCCACCAUGGCCUGUGUUUCCUCAUGAUAAGCAGUGGUAUUGGCAGGCACAGUGGGAGCUCAAGGCAUCUGUAUUACUCAAGACAAGCGUGAGACACUGGAAAAAAGAUACUGGUGUGUUUUGGAUGGAGUGGAGACCUAAGCACUGUGGGAGGUGUCCAGUGCUUAGAGGUGAUGCUGUCAGGACGUGGGGAGUGGAGGCCGCUGAGGGCCCGCUCUCCCGCCUCUCCCUGCCUCAGUGGGUAUUUAGUAGCAGGUAAGAUGGAGGGUGUAUUCAGGAGCUGUAAGGCUUGGUGGUGCUCAGGCUCGGUAGGGCGGGGCGAUGGCGGAUCCUCACAGUUCCGAGGUCUGGCCAUGACCCGCUCUGAGCCAUUCAUGUCACCCUCAUGCUCUGGGUUUUCACCGUUGGGGCUGCGUCUGGCACAGGAAACACGGCAGAGAUGGGAACACAUAGAAAUCUGCUUUGGAAAAGAGAGUUAGUUGAACACUAAGAAGAGCAGGCGUCUUUGUUUAUUCUCAGGACCUUUUUGUAACAGGGCUACACUCUGCAAACUGCUCACAAAAGAAGACUACACGUCUUAACAGAUUAAGCCACUGAAUCCUCCCGAUUUGGGCCUGUUUUAGUGAUGGCAGAAGAAUCCUUGAGCAGUUUGGGGGCCCUAGAUCAUUAGGGUGCUACUGCUCUGGAACCUUCUGUUCCCCUCCUCCCCAUCCCAGCCUCUCCCCUGCAGCACCCCGGCAAAUAGAUGUCUUUCCCUCUUGGGUCUGGUGACCACCAUUGGCCUAGUGGCUUUGUUCCUAGGUUGGUGGGAGGGCACCAGGCCUGAGGGUGAGGACGGCUUUAUAUACCUCUUCCUUAGUCACGCGAGUUCACGUUUCUGCGGUGGGGUGAAGGCCCUGGCAGAGGCUCUGAGCCCACGCAGCAGCGUGUGCGCUCGGAACUGUAUUCCGCAGGUAGCAGCGUUUCCCUUCCCCAUUGCUGUGACACUGUGUGUGAUGGCGAUACUUCUGCAAGUUCCAGAUGUUUGCACAUAGGAUUUUAUGCAUUAUCAGAAGUUACUGCUGCCUUGAAUGAAAACGUUCUGUGAAAUUUUUUGCAAAAGCUUUACUAGUUUUUUUUUAUUGUGAAAUUUUGUAAAGGCAGGAAAUGGAUUAAGACGAGCAUGCUAAAUAUAUUUUUCAAAAAAAGAAGCAAUAAUUUUACAUGUACAGAAAUUAUCCUAACCUUUAAUAUACUGGUGAGAGCGACAGUUUACUUAACACAGUAAUGGAUCAGUGCAGUUUUUGUAGGAAAUGGGCUUCUGAUACAAAGACUUGUUUAAACACACAUGUAUACAUGAACCCUGGCGUGUGGUUUCUCUGUUCUAAUGAUGUUGGAUUAUUAUUAUAUUAUUAUUAUUAUUGUUAUUGUUAUUGUUAGCUAAUGUUUGAUUCUGGAUUCUACUUGUUGCUGUUUUAAUUACUUGACCGUUCAGGUGGCUAUGACACUUGCAGACAAUGCAAUGUUAACUGGCUAGCAGAUACAUAUAUACAUAUCUAUGUGUAUAUAUAAUUAUUUUUUUUACUUAUUUUUUUUCCUGAUACGCCUACACCAGGUAUGUAUGAGAACGGCUUGCUAUGUCCGAGUGCUUGGGAAUAUUGAUCAUUCUGAGACAUUACCUUGAGCAGGUCGCAGAGACACAUUCCUCUCUCCACCUGAGGCAGCAGAGUACUGUUCUGUUGAUUCGUGUUCGAUCGUUUUGAUAGUUCGCCCCACCGUUUCUGCAUUCUCUGGCUUUCUGUUUUCUUGGCUGAAAGUAAAGGUGAGAGCUAGGAAUGUGCAGGGGCCUGUGGUUUGGGCCCCAUCUCCAUCUGUGUUUUAGUUAUUAAAAAAUUCUGUACACAAAGGGACACAAAGGUGUCGUCUGCGUUUUUACUGUGUCCGAAACUGCACUUGGCAUUGAAGCUGGAAGGGUCUGUCUUCCAGUGGGGCCUCCUUCCCAGCUGGUCUAGGGAAAGAGGGGUGCAUGGGGUCCCUGUAGCUGAGGGUCUGUCUGAAGAGCAGCCAGGAGAACAGCCAAUCCCAGGAUGACCUGCUCCUCAAAGCACAGAGAUACAGUUUUCAUGUAGCCACAAGGCCAUGAGCAGCGCCCCCCCCCCCCCCCCCCCCAGCUCACACUCCCCCUGGGACCAGCUGGGUGCUGGCCUGGGUGUAUGGCCUCUUUGUCCCACUGACCAUCAGUAUUGGACCGGUUUGUUAAUUCAUUUAUGUCAGCUCAACCCUAGUAUUUAAUAUGAUUUGUGUUUUCUUAUUUAUUUAGCCAGUCUGUUUUGAUUUGCUCCCUCUGCGAUAAUUUCCACAUUUCUGACUGUUACAGACUUCCUACUACCUCUAUGAAUCUGCUGUUUCCUUGUUUCCUAACGGGACUUUUACAGUGUUGCGUCUAAUGUGACUUAGACAAUAAAGGGUUUGGUUGUCUACACUGCAGCCGCUCUGUGUGUCUCCCCUGCCUUCUGCCCCGCGCUCUUCCUGGUUCCUGCCUCCCUCCCUCCCUGCCUCGCUCAGUCUACCUUUCACCUCUCUCUUGCCUUUUUCUUACCUCCUCUCUUACACAUCUUCCUCAUUUCAAAGGCAAAUAACACAUUUCUCAAACCCUUUCUUAAUUCAGAGAAUGAAGAUUUAAAUUUACAAAUAAUAAACAAAUCGUGGGUUCUAACUGUC